UAGGUGAACCUGUGGAAGGAUCAUUG
RNAcentral lists this ribosomal RNA (26 nucleotides) under Didymodon acutus. RNAcentral's name for it is "partial 18S ribosomal RNA". The record is from RNAcentral. Lineage: Eukaryota; Viridiplantae; Streptophyta; Bryopsida; Pottiales; Pottiaceae.